RNAcentral lists this ribosomal RNA (245 nucleotides) under uncultured bacterium. Its description in RNAcentral is "partial 16S ribosomal RNA". It matches the Rfam family "Bacterial small subunit ribosomal RNA", at positions 524 to 770 of the family's 1533-position model. The record is from RNAcentral.
UACGGAGGGGCUAGCGUUGUUCGGAAUUACUGGGCGUAAAGCGCGCGUAGGCGGACCUGCAAGUCGGGGGUGAAAGCCCGAGGCUCAACCUCGGAACUGCCUUCGAUACUGCGGGUCUCGAGUCCGGGAGAGGUGAGUGGAAUUCCUAGUGUAGAGGUGAAAUUCGUAGAUAUUAGGAAGAACACCAGUGGCGAAGGCGGCUCACUGGCCCGGUACUGACGCUGAGGCGCGAAAGCGUGGGAGCA